RNAcentral lists this ribosomal RNA (253 nucleotides) under uncultured bacterium. RNAcentral describes it as "partial 16S ribosomal RNA". It matches the Rfam family "Bacterial small subunit ribosomal RNA", at positions 524 to 776 of the family's 1533-position model. The record is from RNAcentral.
UACGUAGGCAGCAAGCGUUGUUCGGAAUUACUGGGCGUAAAGAGUGUGUAGGCGGUGCUCCAAGUCUGUUGUGAAAUCUCCCGGCUUAACUGGGAGGGUGCAGCGGAAACUGGAGUGCUUGAGUGUGGGAGAGGUAAGCGGAAUUCCAGGUGUAGCGGUGAAAUGCGUAGAUAUCAGGAGGAACACCUGUGGUGUAGACAGCUUACUGGACCACGACUGACGCUGAGACACGAAAGCGUGGGUAGCAAACGGG